UACAGGGGGUGCAAACGUUGCUCGGAAUUAUUGGGCGUAAAGCGCGCGUAGGCGGCCGCUUAAGUCGGAUGUGAAAGCCCCUGGCUCAACUGGGGAAGUGCACCCGAAACUGAGUGGCUUGAGUACUAAGGAGGGUCGCGGAAUUCCCGGUGUAGAGGUGAAAUUCGUAGAUAUCGGGAGGAACACCGGUGGCGAAGGCGGCGACCUGGGUAGAUACUGACGCUGAGGCGCGAAAGCGUGGGGAGCAAACAGG
Molecule: ribosomal RNA, 253 nt
Filed under: uncultured bacterium
Lineage: Bacteria
Description: partial 16S ribosomal RNA
Rfam family: Bacterial small subunit ribosomal RNA
Source: RNAcentral